RNAcentral lists this long non-coding RNA (982 nucleotides) under Numida meleagris (helmeted guineafowl). Its description in RNAcentral is "lncRNA (ENSNMEG00000006491.1)". Lineage: Eukaryota; Metazoa; Chordata; Aves; Galliformes; Numididae. The record is from RNAcentral.
CCUAUAGUUAAUUCAUUUCAAUAUAUUUACUUGGUGCAUCCUAAUACAGUUUCUCAAAUGCAACAAAAUCCAACUACUUUACAAGCUAUAAUAACAGAAGUUUAAGUGUCAUAUGUCGUAUUUGCAAACAAUGAGCUAUGUUCUCUGGAUCUAGGUUUAUCACCAACUGUAGCAGGCGUGGAAACCACCAUAAUUCACAAGCAGCAUUCCUGGAAAGGACUUUCCACUUGUCUGGAGCUUACUGACUUCGAUGUAUCUGGAUUGUUCUUUUCUACUUACCAGUUCAUCAGCAAGGAAAAAAACCACUACAUUCCAAAUUUACGUUAAAGUUAAGAACUGGCUACGUAAAUUUGCAAGGCACUGAACUUCUCAGAGUAAUCGUGGGGAGCACAUUUGACUCUGAUAUAACCCAUUUGGUCUUAAGCCUUGGACUCUGUACAAGAAUAAGUUAUUUUGAUUGUGUGAAACAAUAUAGAGAUACAGUUGUGUAUCCCAUAUCCAUUUGACUGCACUUACAUGCCUGAUUGAGACAGACAGUACACGAGGACUACAGGGGAAACUGUGCCCUCGAAUGUGUCUGAGUAGCAGGUAGAAGAAAAAGAUGACACUCGUGAUUCAUAGGGAGAGACAGUCUCACAGCUUCAUCUCUCAGAACAGUGACCUUGACUGAGUGACUGAGCCUGCUACUUCAUUCUUUCAUUCCUGAUACUUUAAUUCCUGAUUUCUUGGUGGUCCAACCUUGUUAGGAGAAGCAUGUUCCCAUAAAACACUUCUCUAAGAAUUAGUAGCUAUCAUUUCAGCUCUGCCCGUCUUCCCUCCGUGCCAAAAGAAGAGAAUGCAUAGCAAGUUCUCUGCAGGUGCUGUGUUUGUUCUUUAAUGUCAGCAUCACAUCUCCAGUUGCUUUUAUAUUUUGAUCUGAACCUAGCAAAGAGCUAAGUGUGAAUGAAAUAAAUUAAACAAACUAAAGAUCUCUGACCUUUCC